GGAUUAGAUACCCGGGUAGUCCACGCCGUAAACGUUGGGCGCUAGGUGUGGGACUCAUUCCACGAGUUCCGUGCCGCAGCUAACGCAUUAAGCGCCCCGCCUGGGGAGUACGGCCGCAAGGCUAAAACUCAAAGGAAUUGACGGGUGCCCGCACAAGCGGCGGAGCAUGUGGAUUAGUUCGAUGCAACGCGAAGAACCUUACCUGGGUUUGACAUAUAGGGAAAACUGUCAGAGAUGGCAGGUCCGCAAGGGCCCUAUACAGGUGGUGCAUGGCUGUCGUCAGCUCGUGUCGUGAGAUGUUGGGUUAAGUCCCGCAACGAGCGCAACCCUCGUUCCAUGUUGCCAGCGGAUAAUGCCGGGGACUC
Molecule: ribosomal RNA, 365 nt
Filed under: uncultured bacterium
Lineage: Bacteria
Description: bacterial SSU rRNA
Rfam family: Bacterial small subunit ribosomal RNA
Source: RNAcentral